CUACGGGCUGCUCCAGUGGGGAAUCUUGCACGAUGGGCGAAAGCCUGAUGCAGCAACGCCGCGUGCGGGAAGAAGGCCCUAGGGUUGUAAACCGCUUUCAGUAGGGAAGAAAAUGACGGUACCUACAGAAGAAGGUGCGGCCAACUACGUGCCAGCAGCCGCGGUGACACGUAGGCACCAAGCGUUAUCCGGAUUUAUUGGGCGUAAAGGGCUCGUAGGCGGUUUGGUAAGUCGGGUGUGAAAACUCUGGGCUCAACCCAGAGAGGCCACCCGAUACUGCUAUGACUAGAGUACGGUAGGGGAGCGGGGAAUUCAUGGUGUAGCGGUGAAAUGCGCAGAUAUCAUGAGGAACACCAGCGGCGAAGGCGCCGCUCUGGGCCGUAACUGACGCUGAGGAGCUAAAGCAUGGGUAGCAAACAGGAUUAGAUACCCCAGUAGUC
This 440-nucleotide ribosomal RNA is filed under the name uncultured bacterium. RNAcentral's name for it is "partial 16S ribosomal RNA". It matches the Rfam family "Bacterial small subunit ribosomal RNA", at positions 339 to 795 of the family's 1533-position model. The record is from RNAcentral.